Molecule: ribosomal RNA, 253 nt
Filed under: uncultured bacterium
Lineage: Bacteria
Description: partial 16S ribosomal RNA
Rfam family: Bacterial small subunit ribosomal RNA
Source: RNAcentral
UACGUAGGUGGCAAGCGUUGUCCGGAAUUAUUGGGCGUAAAGCGCGCGCAGGCGGUCCUUUAAGUCUGAUGUGAAAGCCCACGGCUCAACCGUGGAGGGUCAUUGGAAACUGGGGGACUUGAGUGCAGAAGAGGAAAGUGGAAUUCUAAGUGUAGCGGUGAAAUGCGUAGAGAUUUGGAGGAACACCAGUGGCGAAGGCGACUUUCUGGUCUGUAACUGACGCUGAGGCGCGAAAGCGUGGGGAGCAAACAGG